CUGGUUAACACAUGGGCAAUCUGCCCUUCACUCUGGGACAAGCCCUGGAAACGGGGUCUAAUACCGGAUACGACACGGGGUCGCAUGACCUCCGUGUGGAAAGCUCCGGCGGUGAAGGAUGAGCCCGCGGCCUAUCAGCUUGUUGGUGGGGUGAUGGCCUACCAAGGCGACGACGGGUAGCCGGCCUGAGAGGGCGACCGGCCACACUGGGACUGAGACACGGCCCAGACUCCUACGGGAGGCAGCAGUGGGGAAUAUUGCACAAUGGGCGAAAGCCUGAUGCAGCGACGCCGCGUGAGGGAUGACGGCCUUCGGGUUGUAAACCUCUUUCAGCAGGGAAGAAGCGAGAGUGACGGUACCUGCAGAAGAAGCGCCGGCUAACUACGUGCCAGCAGCCGCGGUAAUACGUAGGGCGCAAGCGUUGUCCGGAAUUAUUGGGCGUAAAGAGCUCGUAGGCGGCUUGUCGCGUCGGAUGUGAAAGCCCGGGGCUUAACCCCGGGUCUGCAUUCGAUACGGGCAGGCUAGAGUUCGGUAGGGGAGAUCGGAAUUCCUGGUGUAGCGGUGAAAUGCGCAGAUAUCAGGAGGAACACCGGUGGCGAAGGCGGAUCUCUGGGCCGAUACUGACGCUGAGGAGCGAAAGCU
RNAcentral lists this ribosomal RNA (642 nucleotides) under Streptomyces sp. PIP 77. RNAcentral describes it as "bacterial SSU rRNA". It matches the Rfam family "Bacterial small subunit ribosomal RNA", at positions 106 to 761 of the family's 1533-position model. The record is from RNAcentral. Lineage: Bacteria; Bacillati; Actinomycetota; Actinomycetes; Kitasatosporales; Streptomycetaceae.